GCGACCGUGGCGAAACUGGUAGACGCAGGAGACUUAAAAUCUCCCGGCGCAAGCUGUGCCGGUUCGAUUCCGGCCGGUCGCACCA
RNAcentral lists this transfer RNA (85 nucleotides) under Pseudomonadota bacterium. RNAcentral describes it as "tRNA-Leu". It matches the Rfam family "tRNA". From Rfam's summary of the family: Transfer RNA (tRNA) molecules are approximately 80 nucleotides in length. Their secondary structure includes four short double-helical elements and three loops (D, anti-codon, and T loops). Lineage: Bacteria; Pseudomonadati; Pseudomonadota. The record is from RNAcentral. RNAcentral also lists the same sequence under 1 other name.